Molecule: ribosomal RNA, 403 nt
Filed under: Leptodactylus cf. wagneri I AF-2012
Lineage: Eukaryota; Metazoa; Chordata; Amphibia; Anura; Leptodactylidae
Description: partial 16S ribosomal RNA
Rfam family: Bacterial large subunit ribosomal RNA
Source: RNAcentral
UUUGACUGCCAAUAAAAGGUCCAGCCUGCCCAGUGACUUUGUUCAACGGCCGCGGUAUCCUAACCGUGCGAAGGUAGCGUAAUCACUUGUUCUUUAAAUAAGGACUAGUAUGAAUGGCAUCACGAGGGUUAUACUGUCUCCUUCCUCUAAUCAGUGAAACUGAUCUUCCCGUGAAGAAGCGGGAAUAAAUUUAUAAGACGAGAAGACCCUAUGGAGCUUCAAACACACUACAAUUGCCCCCCUCUCUGUUAAUCCCCGGAAAACCACAUACCCGGGCACUUUGAUAGCAAGUUUUAGGUUGGGGUGACCGCGGAGCAAAAAACAACCUCCACAGCGAACAGGGCUUUCCCUUAAACUCAGGACUACAACCCUAAGAAUCAAUAAAUUGACACCCAUUGACCCA